This 415-nucleotide ribosomal RNA is filed under the name uncultured Gammaproteobacteria bacterium. Its description in RNAcentral is "bacterial SSU rRNA". It matches the Rfam family "Bacterial small subunit ribosomal RNA", at positions 9 to 419 of the family's 1533-position model. The record is from RNAcentral. Lineage: Bacteria; Pseudomonadati; Pseudomonadota; Gammaproteobacteria.
GAGUUUGAUCGUGGCUCAGAUUGAACGCUGGCGGUAUGCUUAACACAUGCAAGUCGGACGGCAGCAUGGUGUGUAGCAAUACACACUGAUGGCGAGUGGCGGACGGGUGAGAAACGCGUAGGAAUCUGCCUUAUAGAGGGGGACAACUAGAGGAAACUCUAGCUAAUACCGCAUAAAGUCGAGAGACCAAAGGCUGGGUAGAAAUACCUGGCGCUAUGAGAGGAGCCUGCGUCCGAUUAGCUAGUUGGUGGGGUAAAGGCCUACCAAGGCGAUGAUCGGUAGCUGGUCUGAGAGGAUGAUCAGCCACACUGGGACUGAGACACGGCCCAGACUCCUACGGGAGGCAGCAGUGGGGAAUAUUGGACAAUGGGGGCAACCCUGAUCCAGCCAUGCCGCGUGUGUGAAGAAGGCCUUC